Molecule: ribosomal RNA, 203 nt
Filed under: uncultured bacterium
Lineage: Bacteria
Description: partial 16S ribosomal RNA
Rfam family: Bacterial small subunit ribosomal RNA
Source: RNAcentral
AGUGAACGCUGGCGGCAGGCCUAACACAUGCAAGUCGAGCGGCAGCGGGUUCCCGCGAGGGGAUGCCGGCGAGCGGCGGACGGGUGAGGAACACAUCGGAAUCUGCCUGGUUGUGGGGGAGUAACGUAGGGAAACGUUACGCUAAUAACCGCAUGAGACCCUCGAGUCGACGGACGUGGGGGUGGAAAGUAGAGGGACCGUUC